This 29-nucleotide non-coding RNA is filed under the name Rattus norvegicus (Norway rat). Lineage: Eukaryota; Metazoa; Chordata; Mammalia; Rodentia; Muridae. The record is from RNAcentral.
UGCCUUUGUGCAGGAUGAAGCCCUAUGGA